Molecule: ribosomal RNA, 523 nt
Filed under: Clostridioides difficile
Lineage: Bacteria; Bacillati; Bacillota; Clostridia; Peptostreptococcales; Peptostreptococcaceae
Description: bacterial LSU rRNA
Rfam family: Bacterial large subunit ribosomal RNA
Source: RNAcentral
GGAGCCGUAGCGAAAGCGAGUUUUAACUGAGCGUUCAGUUACUUGACGUAGACCCGAAACCGGGCGACCUACCCAUGAGCAGGAUGAAGCGAAAGUAAAAUUUCGUGGAGGUCCGAACCCACGAGCGGUGAAAAGCUCGGGGAUGACUUGUGGGUAGCGGUGAAAUUCCAAUCGAGCCCGGAGAUAGCUGGUUCUCCCCGAAAUAGCUUUAGGGCUAGCCUCAAGGUGAGAGAUACGGAGGUAGAGCACUGAAUGUCCUAGGGGGUAUUGCACCUACCGAAGACUAUCAAACUCCGAAUGCCGUCAUCUUAUACUUGGGAGUCAGACUGUGGGUGAUAAGAUUCAUAGUCGAAAGGGCAACAGCCCAGAUCGUCAGCUAAGGUCCCUAAAUGUAAGUUAAGUGGUAAAGGAUGUGGGAUUGCACAGACAACCAGGAUGUUGGCUUAGAAGCAGCCACUCAUUCAAAGAGUGCGUAAUAGCUCACUGGUCGAGUGAUCCUGCGCCGAAGAUUUCCGGGGCUAAA